RNAcentral lists this small RNA (282 nucleotides) under Nomascus leucogenys (northern white-cheeked gibbon). Its description in RNAcentral is "Metazoan signal recognition particle RNA (ENSNLEG00000034295.1)". Lineage: Eukaryota; Metazoa; Chordata; Mammalia; Primates; Hylobatidae. The record is from RNAcentral.
GCCAGACGCGGUGGCUCACAUCUGUAAUCCCAGCACUUUGGGAGGCUGAGGCGGGUGGAUCACUUGAGGUCAGGAGUUCUAGACUACCCUGGCCAACAUGGUGAAACCCCGUCUCUACUAAAAAUACAAAAAUUAGCCGGGCGUGGUGACGCAUGCCUGUAAUCCCAGCUACUCAGGAGGCUGAGGCAGGAGAAUCCCUUGAACCUGGGAGGUAGAGGUUGCAGUGAGCUGGGAUUGCACCACUGCACUCUAGCCUGGGCAACAGAGUGAGACUCCAUCUCA